This 256-nucleotide ribosomal RNA is filed under the name uncultured bacterium. Its description in RNAcentral is "partial 16S ribosomal RNA". It matches the Rfam family "Bacterial small subunit ribosomal RNA", at positions 524 to 777 of the family's 1533-position model. The record is from RNAcentral.
UACGUAGGGUGCGAGCGUUAAUCGGAAUUACUGGGCGUAAAGCGCGUGUAGGCGGAUCGCCACGUCGGGCGCUGAAAUCCCUCGGCUCAACCGAGGAACGGGCACCGAUACGAGCGGUCUGGAGGGAGGUAGGGGGGGGCUGGAACUUCCGGUGGAGCGGUGAAAUGUGUUGAUAUCGGAAGGAACGCCGGUGGCGAAAGCGACACACUGGGUCUCAACUGACGCUGAGGCACGAAAGCCAGGGGAGCGAACGGGG